RNAcentral lists this ribosomal RNA (1387 nucleotides) under Faucicola osloensis. RNAcentral's name for it is "bacterial SSU rRNA". It matches the Rfam family "Bacterial small subunit ribosomal RNA". RNAcentral also lists the same sequence under 1 other name. The record is from RNAcentral. Lineage: Bacteria; Pseudomonadati; Pseudomonadota; Gammaproteobacteria; Moraxellales; Moraxellaceae.
AGUCGAACGAUGAUUAUCUAGCUUGCUAGAUAUGAUUAGUGGCGGACGGGUGAGUAACAUUUAGGAAUCUGCCUAGUAGUGGGGGAUAGCUCGGGGAAACUCGAAUUAAUACCGCAUACGACCUACGGGUGAAAGGGGGCGCAAGCUCUUGCUAUUAGAUGAGCCUAAAUCAGAUUAGCUAGUUGGUGGGGUAAAGGCCCACCAAGGCGACGAUCUGUAACUGGUCUGAGAGGAUGAUCAGUCACACCGGAACUGAGACACGGUCCGGACUCCUACGGGAGGCAGCAGUGGGGAAUAUUGGACAAUGGGGGCAACCCUGAUCCAGCCAUGCCGCGUGUGUGAAGAAGGCCUUUUGGUUGUAAAGCACUUUAAGCAGGGAGGAGAGGCUAAUGGUUAAUACCCAUUAGAUUAGACGUUACCUGCAGAAUAAGCACCGGCUAACUCUGUGCCAGCAGCCGCGGUAAUACAGAGGGUGCGAGCGUUAAUCGGAAUUACUGGGCGUAAAGCGAGUGUAGGUGGCUCAUUAAGUCACAUGUGAAAUCCCCGGGCUUAACCUGGGAACUGCAUGUGAUACUGGUGGUGCUAGAAUAUGUGAGAGGGAAGUAGAAUUCCAGGUGUAGCGGUGAAAUGCGUAGAGAUCUGGAGGAAUACCGAUGGCGAAGGCAGCUUCCUGGCAUAAUAUUGACACUGAGAUUCGAAAGCGUGGGUAGCAAACAGGAUUAGAUACCCUGGUAGUCCACGCCGUAAACGAUGUCUACUAGCCGUUGGGGUCCUUGAGACUUUAGUGGCGCAGUUAACGCGAUAAGUAGACCGCCUGGGGAGUACGGCCGCAAGGUUAAAACUCAAAUGAAUUGACGGGGGCCCGCACAAGCGGUGGAGCAUGUGGUUUAAUUCGAUGCAACGCGAAGAACCUUACCUGGUCUUGACAUAGUGAGAAUCCUGCAGAGAUGCGGGAGUGCCUUCGGGAAUUCACAUACAGGUGCUGCAUGGCUGUCGUCAGCUCGUGUCGUGAGAUGUUGGGUUAAGUCCCGCAACGAGCGCAACCCUUUUCCUUAUUUGCCAGCGGGUUAAGCCGGGAACUUUAAGGAUACUGCCAGUGACAAACUGGAGGAAGGCGGGGACGACGUCAAGUCAUCAUGGCCCUUACGACCAGGGCUACACACGUGCUACAAUGGUAGGUACAGAGGGUUGCUACACAGCGAUGUGAUGCUAAUCUCAAAAAGCCUAUCGUAGUCCGGAUUGGAGUCUGCAACUCGACUCCAUGAAGUCGGAAUCGCUAGUAAUCGCAGAUCAGAAUGCUGCGGUGAAUACGUUCCCGGGCCUUGUACACACCGCCCGUCACACCAUGGGAGUCUAUUGCACCAGAAGUAGGUAGCCUAACGCAAGA